Long non-coding RNA from Herpailurus yagouaroundi (jaguarundi), 585 nucleotides. RefSeq lists it as uncharacterized. The transcript is spliced from 3 exons. The record is from RefSeq and is a predicted model, not a curated record. Lineage: Eukaryota; Metazoa; Chordata; Mammalia; Carnivora; Felidae.
GCGCGCCCGAGCGCUGCCGCGGGGUUCCCGGCGGGAGGCGGCCAAGCCAGUGGCUCCUCGGAAUGGCGUGGUCGCCACGAAUCAGCAAGUGAUGAUUGAGGGUCUACAUGAGAUCUAAAGAAAAAAGACACGUGCCUGGUUUAUAAGCCUAAUCGAAAUGAACACAGAUACACACAACCAACUGUGAUGCUGGCUCAAGAGGUCUCCAGCUCCUCAGGUGAUUUUCAUAUGCAGCCAAGUAUGAGAACAAAUGCUUUCUGCCCAUUCCUACUACAGUGAUGACCAUGGCCCAGGAGCAUCAGCAGAGCCUGUAAGAUGGACAGAAAUGCAAGGUCUCAGACCUUCCCCAGACCUGCUGAAUCAGAAUCUGCAUUUUUUUUUUCUUCAGGGCAGGUGGAGUGUGGUGUUUUUCCAAGGGGGCAAAGAAGGCUCACAGGAUGCAAUAUGUGGCUUGGGGUAUGUGUGGGGGUAGUUUGUGGGGCAAGGAGAGGAUGAGCUGGGGUGGGUGAAACCAUAAUCUGCAUUUUAAUAAGAUCCGCCAGGUGAUUCAUUUGCAUUAACGUUUGAAAAGCACUGGGUUUGGGA